Molecule: ribosomal RNA, 254 nt
Filed under: uncultured bacterium
Lineage: Bacteria
Description: partial 16S ribosomal RNA
Rfam family: Bacterial small subunit ribosomal RNA
Source: RNAcentral
UACGUAGGGUGCAAGCGUUGUCCGGAAUUAUUGGGCGUAAAGAGCUCGUAGGCGGUGUGUCGCGUCGGCCGUGAAAACCUGCAGCUUAACUGUGGGCUUGCGGUCGAUACGGGCAUCACUGGAGUUCGGCAGGGGAGAGUGGAAUUCCUGGUGUAGCGGUGAAAUGCGCAGAUAUCAGGAAGAACACCCGUGGCUAAGGCGGCUCUCUAGUACGGUACUGACGCUGAGACGCGAAAGCGUGGGGAGCGAACAGG